Molecule: transfer RNA, 30 nt
Filed under: Canis lupus (wolf)
Lineage: Eukaryota; Metazoa; Chordata; Mammalia; Carnivora; Canidae
Description: partial tRNA-Gly
Source: RNAcentral
AUUUCUUUAGUAUAACUAGUACGAUUGACU